CUAAGGUAGCAUAAUAGUUCGUCCCUUAAUUGGGGAAUAGUAUGAAUGGUCAGAUGGUGGAAAGCUUUAUUAAAAGUAUAGGUUGAAAUUUACUUUCAGGUGCAAAGGCCUGAAUAUAUUUAUUAGACGAGAAGACCCUGUUGAGCUUAGUAGUCCACAAGUCCGAGAGGUUUGUGGUUUAUAUUUUUUCGGGGCUGAAAGGAAGGGAAAGUUAUUCCUUCUUGGUGAGUAAAGAUCCAGCAUGGUUGAUAAGAGGAAGAUAGCUACCACAGGGAUAACAGCGCGAUCCAGCUGUCAAGAUCUUAUUUGAGGUAGGGUUUGC
This 322-nucleotide ribosomal RNA is filed under the name Gari elongata. RNAcentral's name for it is "partial 16S ribosomal RNA". It matches the Rfam family "Archaeal large subunit ribosomal RNA", at positions 2028 to 2590 of the family's 2987-position model. Lineage: Eukaryota; Metazoa; Mollusca; Bivalvia; Cardiida; Psammobiidae. The record is from RNAcentral.